RNAcentral lists this ribosomal RNA (614 nucleotides) under marine metagenome. RNAcentral's name for it is "bacterial SSU rRNA". It matches the Rfam family "Bacterial small subunit ribosomal RNA", at positions 906 to 1520 of the family's 1533-position model. The record is from RNAcentral.
GGAAUUGACGGGGGCCCGCACAAGCGGUGGAGUAUGUGGUUUAAUUCGAUGCAACGCGAAGAACCUUACCAGGGUUUGACAUCCUGCGAACCUCUUAGAAAUUUGAGGGUGCCUUCGGGAAUGCAGUGACAGGUGGUGCAUGGCUGUCGUCAGCUCGUGUCGUGAGAUGUUGGGUUAAGUCCCGCAACGAGCGCAACCCACGUUUUUAGUUGCCAGCAUUUAGUUGGGCACUCUAGAAAGACCGCCGGUGAUAAACCGGAGGAAGGUGUGGAUGACGUCAAGUCAUCAUGCCCCUUACACCCUGGGCUACACACGUACUACAAUGCUACGGACAAAGGGCAGCAAACUCGCGAGGACAAGCAAAUCCCAUAAACCGUGGCUCAGUUCAGAUCGUAGGCUGCAACUCGCCUACGUGAAGGCGGAAUCGCUAGUAAUCGCAGGUCAGCAUACUGCGGUGAAUACGUUCCCGGGCCUUGUACACACCGCCCGUCACACCAUGGAAGUUGGCCACGCCCGAAGCCGUUACUCCAACCCUUGUGGAGGAGGACGUCGAAGGUGGGGCUGAUGACUGGGGUGAAGUCGUAACAAGGUAUCCGUACCGGAAGGUGCGGAUG